GUCAUUCCCUCGAUAGAACAACGAAAGACUGGGUGACUUGAUGCAACUGUAAGCAUCUGAUAAUUUGUGAAUCCAUUGGCGCUAAUGCCUGAUUAGACGAGUGACAGGCACUGUGCGAUAACUCCAAAACUGGAUUUAAAACCAAUGAAAAGAGAGAAUUUAAACGGUUAGAGCUCUCUUUAUGACUGAAGUAUCCAAUAUACAGUUUUUAAGUUUUAGAAAACGUUUUUCAAUUAAUUUACCUUGCACUCUCAUUACUGCCAAUCCAGUGACUAUAAAAAAUGAUAGUCGUUUAUUUCUUACGUCGAGAUGUAUUUUUAAAAAGGAGGGUCACAAAAAAAAAAAAACUUACAAAAUAUUAGUCCGGUGAUAAAACCUAACCUUAAUCCUCAUUUUUACAGGUGCAAAAUCAAUCCUCCCAUCACCAAACCACACACAAUUGACACACAUUUCGUUACGCACUUAUUUGACACUGUAUAACACGUGUACAUAAACGCGCUCCAAAACUAUCGAAUCACAUUGAAAAAGUACCACGAACCGAAAAUCAGAAAUGCCCAAAUUCGAGGUAAACAAGCUAAAAUAAACAGGUUUAUUUAAAGUAUAGCAGAAUGCCUGAAACUGAGCGAAUAAUCCGAGGCUGGGGACGUGUCAUCGCAUGACUCUCUCAUAAAAUGACGCGGGCAACGGAUCAUCACCUGGGUAAAUAAAAAAUAUUCGCCGAUGCUCAAGCUCAUAUUCACACUACAGUCGUGGUAGGGCUGACUACAAUUAACUUUGUUUAAAAUGUCCGUGUUAAAGCUUCGAUUUAUCCUGUCUCCCACGGUUCUCGUAGCCGUGGCUUUACUGACAACCGCCAACUGCGAGAAUUCGGUUGAGGUGGUCGAUAAUCAGAUACCUCCACCGCCUGCAGAGGCCAAUCAAUCUGGGGAGGUGGCCGAAAAAUCAGGGCCGGAGGCGGCUGCAUUGGCCGAAAAAUACGCCCCCGGGCCGUAUUGGUCCAUGGCGACGAUCACAAACGCCCUGACACCGGUUUCGGACCUAUUCGCGCCGCCGACGUGCAGCCCGCAUCCCUUGGAACGCGUCUUCGAGAACCCUGACCUGGCUCCGCUCUUCAAGGAAUUGCCCAAUCUAAAAGAUGAGCUGAUGGCGCUCGCCCCUGGGGAUCAGCAGAACGCCGAAUUCCUCUUCAAGGUCUACGUCAGUUUGAGCAAUGCAGUUACUCCCUUCUUCCACCGAGCCGUUGAGCUCAUCACCGUGAGCGCCCCCAAGGUGACGGAUCUUGCCAAGUUCAACAUCGCCGCGGAGCUGUCCACCUACGUCCAGUCCGUCGUGGAUCCCAUCCCCAACGGAUUCUCGCUGGUUGCCAAAUAUAAAUUGAGACCUAGUAAGAAUCCAGGAAUCAAGGUUCCUUCUUUGCGAGAGCUUAGGAAUGUAGUCGGCCGCGUGGUGUUGAAGAACAUAGGGGCACCGCCUAUAUUAACCGUCAUCAGAUUGCACAUACAACUAUCAAUUUUGGUCAAAACUUAUAUUCGAAGGCAGGCGCAUAAUCUCUACAUGGAUCACGGGAAUCACCCUAUUAUGCUCAUAACUGACGCGAGCCAAACGAAGGAUGCUGCUAGUCAAACGAAGGACGCUAGUCAAACGAAGGAUGCUGGCCAGGCGGAGGAUGCUAACCAGGCAGAGAAUAAUACUCAAAAGGAGGAUACGAACCAAAAGAAGGAUAUCCCGGCCGAAUCGCAGCCUCAGCCGUCGAAAGAAGAACCGGCCGAAUCUCAUUUUCAACCUAUGAGAACCGUAUCGGAACACUUCAAGAAAAUAACCGGCAUCAUCAUAAAGCUCCCAAUAUAAGAGGCAGGAACACCGAAAAAAAG
Molecule: long non-coding RNA, 1871 nt
Filed under: Bemisia tabaci
Lineage: Eukaryota; Metazoa; Arthropoda; Insecta; Hemiptera; Aleyrodidae
Description: lncRNA ENSSSA1UGG011179
Source: RNAcentral